This 580-nucleotide ribosomal RNA is filed under the name uncultured beta proteobacterium. RNAcentral's name for it is "bacterial SSU rRNA". It matches the Rfam family "Bacterial small subunit ribosomal RNA", at positions 338 to 909 of the family's 1533-position model. Lineage: Bacteria; Pseudomonadati; Pseudomonadota; Betaproteobacteria. The record is from RNAcentral.
CCUACGGGAGGCAGCAGUGGGGAAUUUUGGACAAUGGGCGAAAGCCUGAUCCAGCCAUGCCGCGUGAGUGAAGAAGGCCUUCGGGUUGUAAAGUUCUUUUAGUCGGAAAGAAAGGGUCGCAAUGAAUAAUUGUGAUUUAUGACGGUACCGACAGAAAAAGCACCGGCUAACUACGUGCCAGCAGCCGCGGUAAUACGUAGGGUGCGAGCGCUAAUCGGAAUUACUGGGCGUAAAGGGUGCGCGGGCGGUCUUGCAAGUCAGAUGUGAAAGCCCCGGGCUUAACCUGGGAAUUGCGUUUGAAACUACAAGGCUAGAGUGCAGCAGAGGGGAGUGGAAUUCCAUGUGUAGCAGUGAAAUGCGUAGAAAUGUGGAAGAACAUCGAUUGGCGAAGGCAGCUCCCUGGGUUGACACUGACGCUCAUGCACGAAAGCGUGGGGAGCAAACAGGAUUAGAUACCCUGGUAGUCCACGCCCUAAACGAUGUCAACUAGUUGUCGGAUCUAAUUAAGGAUUUGGUAACGUAGCUAACGCGUGAAGUUGACGCCUGGGGAGUACGGUCGCAAGAUUAAAACUCAAAGGAA